AUUUAUAUAGUUUAAAAAAAACAUUUCAUUUUCAAUGAAAAAAUAAGUUUUACUUUAUAAAUA
This 63-nucleotide transfer RNA is filed under the name Enithares tibialis. RNAcentral describes it as "tRNA-Glu". Lineage: Eukaryota; Metazoa; Arthropoda; Insecta; Hemiptera; Notonectidae. The record is from RNAcentral.